Molecule: ribosomal RNA, 429 nt
Filed under: Chloroflexota bacterium
Lineage: Bacteria; Bacillati; Chloroflexota
Description: Chloroflexi bacterium partial 16S ribosomal RNA
Rfam family: Bacterial small subunit ribosomal RNA
Source: RNAcentral
UGGGGAAUAUUGCACAAUGGGCGCAAGCCUGAUGCAGCCAUGCCGCGUGUAUGAAGAAGGCCUUCGGGUUGUAAAGUACUUUCAGCGGGGAGGAAGGGAGUAAAGUUAAUACCUUUGCUCAUUGACGUUACCCGCAGAAGAAGCACCGGCUAACUCCGUGCCAGCAGCCGCGGUAAUACGGAGGGUGCAAGCGUUAAUCGGAAUUACUGGGCGUAAAGCGCGCGCAGGCGGUUUGUUAAGUCAGAUGUGAAAUCCCCGGGCUCAACCUGGGAACUGCAUCUGAUACUGGCAAGCUUGAGUCUCGUAGAGGGGGGUAGAAUUCCAGGUGUAGCGGUGAAAUGCGUAGAGAUCUGGAGGAAUACCGGUGGCGAAGGCGGCCCCCUGGACGAAGACUGACGCUCAGGUGCGAAAGCGUGGGGAGCAAACAGG